GACGAACGCUGGCGGCGUGCUUAACACAUGCAAGUCGAACGGAAAGGCCCUGCUUUUGUGGGGUGCUCGAGUGGCGAACGGGUGAGUAACACGUGAGUAACCUGCCCUUGACUUUGGGAUAACUUCAGGAAACUGGGGCUAAUACCGGAUAGGAGCUCCUGCUGCAUGGUGGGGGUUGGAAAGUUUCGGCGGUUGGGGAUGGACUCGCGGCUUAUCAGCUUGUUGGUGGGGUAGUGGCUUACCAAGGCUUUGACGGGUAGCCGGCCUGAGAGGGUGACCGGCCACAUUGGGACUGAGAUACGGCCCAGACUCCUACGGGAGGCAGCAGUGGGGAAUAUGGAACAAUGGGCGGAAGCCUGAUGCAGCAACGCCGCGUGCGGGAUGACGGCCUUCGGGUUGUAAACCGCUUUCGCCUGUGACGAAGCGUGAGUGACGGUAAUGGGUAAAGAAGCACCGGCUAACUACGUG
RNAcentral lists this ribosomal RNA (468 nucleotides) under uncultured bacterium. RNAcentral describes it as "partial 16S ribosomal RNA". It matches the Rfam family "Bacterial small subunit ribosomal RNA", at positions 28 to 507 of the family's 1533-position model. The record is from RNAcentral.